Molecule: ribosomal RNA, 301 nt
Filed under: uncultured bacterium
Lineage: Bacteria
Description: partial 16S ribosomal RNA
Rfam family: Bacterial small subunit ribosomal RNA
Source: RNAcentral
CAGCAGCCACGGGAAUACGUAGGUGGCAAGCGUUGUCCGGAAUUAUUGGGCGUAAAGGGCUCGCAGGCGGUUUCUUAUGUCUGAUGUGAAAGCCCCCGGCUCAACCGGGGAGGGUCAUUGGAAACUGGGAAACUUGAGUGCAGAAGAGGAGAGUGGAAUUCCACGUGUAGCGGUGAAAUGCGUAGAGAUGUGGAGGAACACCAGUGGCGAAGGCGACUCUCUGGUCUGUAACUGACGCUGAGGAGCGAAAGCGUGGGGAGCGAACAGGAUUAGAUACCCCAGUAGUCCCUGUCUCUUAUAC